CAGCAUACAAGCAGCAGAAUCCACUGUGUCACUCCCAGAAGAGCAUUCUCCAUGGACUUCUGUGAUGUACUACUGACAAUCAAGCAAGUCCAUAGGAAGUUCCAAGAGUAAGAUGUCAGACAAUAUUCACAGCUUCUCUGCACAUCCACCAGCAAGUCUCCUGGAGAAAGUGGGGGGUGUUCCAUGCCACCACCAGCUGUCGCGUCUCCCAGUCACAUCAGGUAUCUGAGGAGUGGCUACUCAAAGAAUACUGAAACACCUUGGGAUAAUGGAAUCCCUGAGUCAAGAUCCACUGGCAUCAUCUUUUAUUCCUUGCAUGUUACAAGAAUCACCUCCACCCCCAAGAGUGCCCUUGUGUUCUCUGAAGGUGUUUUCAUGAAGACCAAGGAAUACAGAUAAGGAGGGAAGUGCUGGUAUUUUGCACCAGAGACCAGGCUGGAUCCAGCUGGAAGUCAGUGUUUUAGGGUUGGUGGGAUAGACUGGGGAACACAAUUCCAACUUUUCUUCU
Long non-coding RNA from Mustela erminea (ermine), 508 nucleotides. RefSeq lists it as uncharacterized. The record is from RefSeq and is a predicted model, not a curated record. The transcript has 4 exons. Lineage: Eukaryota; Metazoa; Chordata; Mammalia; Carnivora; Mustelidae.